This 2361-nucleotide long non-coding RNA is filed under the name Venturia canescens. Its description in RNAcentral is "uncharacterized LOC122406780". The record is from RNAcentral. Lineage: Eukaryota; Metazoa; Arthropoda; Insecta; Hymenoptera; Ichneumonidae.
UAACGAAAAAAUUCAAUAACUUUUGAUGUGUGUACGGCUUUCAUAUGCCGGAGUGAUAAGUGUCAGAGAAAAGUCGAUAUUCAAUAAUGAAUUUGCUGCUAAACUACACGGUAACUAGCGUCGAAAUUUUGCAAAUCUAUCCAGUACGUAUUCAUUUUUGCCUACCAAAAAUAUCACCGCGUAAUCUUGGAUAGCGAAUAUUCACCCAUCUACCUUUUGAUUCUCUCCGUGUAGGGAAUCGUGAUGAUUAUUUAAAUCUUCGGGUUGACAAAUGAGUCUUGACUUGACCUCAUAUUUCCGACGAUGUUCUCUGGUUAUGUCAAAGCGACGUGUUUCGUUUUGGAGAGCGGAGUGAGAAGGAAACCAUACGAAAUAAGCAUUGAGCGUGUGGUCAUCGACCAAAUGAGCCACGUGGAGGCUACGUGGGUUCGAAAACGACGCAAACUUUUUUACACGUGUUCUCGUUACCUUUGGACCCUUGCCUCGUAGUCUAUUAUUUCUUAUUCUUAGUCUCUGACAUUUUUGUAGGACGACACACGUGUUUUUUUGGCGCGAGACAUAUUCAACGACCGCCCGAAUAUCUCUCUGAAUUCGUGCCAUUUUUUUUCAACCUCCGAGACCGGAUUGCAUAAUUAUUGGUCGGUUGCCUGAGUCCAAAAUGGAAGUAAACUUCGAAGUGGCGCGAGCGAUUGUACCGAGCUUACAAACUUGAUGGUUUAAUCAUCCUCGUUCAUUAAGGCAAGGAACAUCUCCUCUCGAUAAACAGGCUUUAAAUAACCUGCAAAAAUUUCAAGAACAAAUGUUUGUCGAAGCAAUUCUUUGAGGCUACCGCGCCGCUACGAAUUUAAAUGUACUAAAAUAUCGGCCGUACUAAAAAAAAUGUAUUAAAAAAUGAAAAAAAAAUGUUUCUUCUUCUUUUAAAAGUGAAGGGGUCCUCGCAUUUCUUAUUUCUCUGUUUUUGUUUUGGUCACACGUGUGCUCCUGCACAAGAGAGACAGGCAUUUUGCGGACGGGAGGGGAUAUCGCUAAAUGGAAAAUCACAAGGAUCCGCGCCCUCCACGUUUUUGCGGCUGCUCGUCUAACCGGUUCACAGUCUCCUCGACUCAACGAGCUAUACGGUACGGCGUAUCGUUUUUUUCGAGGAUAUACACGUGGCACAGCAGUAAAGAAAAUACAAAAAAUCUUUGACCUAUCAAAACGGGGGAAUAUAUAACAAGUUUUGUGGAUAAAACGGUAUUCGAGUUGAAUGUAAGCACGGUCCUCGACGAGAGAAGUGUUUUCAUAAAAAUAACACAAAUGGAGAAGGAUCUCGACUAUUUUUUCGAGCUCGAAGAAUACGAAACGAUUGUAAUUCACGAAUUUUAUUGACAAAACUGCUCGUGUCCGUCGUCGUGCGCUCCAAAUGCGAGGGUUUUUUUUUAGGCAGCCGCUUCACGUUUCCGGACUCAAUUUACUGCGUAAAUAUGAUUUCAGUGCCUUCGCACAAUUACUCGGCGUGUUUGAACAAUUCGUCAGCUUCAUUCCCCUGUUUAUUCGCGACCAAUAUUGUACUAAUUGACAGCAUAAAUAUGUGGAAAAAUUUUCCAAAAUACACGGAAUCUUCGAGCACUGUUGUUUACCUUUUUUUCGACGAGUGCGCUAUUUUUAGGUUUUGUGAGGUCGAAGACGGGGUCGGAUCGCAUACGCUUGACGCAGAUCUGUGUUUUGCGGUUUACACAUCCGACGCGCACUCGUUAAAUCGCCUUUUUGAAAAUCGUUUUUUUAUCGAAACUAUGAAUUGUACUCGUAUAAUUAAAUAUUCACGGAAAUUGUGUACAAACUAUUGUAAUGACGCGAAAGAUGAUUCAGGAUCAAUGUCGAGCAACUUUUCAACCGGAAGGGCGGUGUUCCUGCUCCUGCAAAGAUUUCGGUCGUAAAGUUUUCAGGGUCAGCAAGAUUCAACGUCUAUACGCACGUAUAGCCCCUUCAAGGCCACGAUCCCAAGACAAUUGUCGGACUUUAUUUUCCAGAUUAUUUCGUUCGGAUUUUUCAGAGUGAAAACGUGACCUUAUCGCGUGUCUGUGCGCAGGAAAAAUCAUUUUCUGGGAAAGAAAAAAACGUUUUUGAACGAGAAUCUUUAGUUGAGUCGUCAGGACUAGUAAAAAAGAUGAAGAGAAAUGAACGUAAAAUGGAUGCACGGAGAAACUGAAUUCAUCGAUUAGUUUUCGAUCACAGAGAGCGGAGACAGAGGAGAGCACAAUUGGAGAAGCGGAGCGAGAGGGAGGGGGCUCGGAUCGAUUGACUCGAAUUGCGCUUCGAGGAAACGUGCAUUUACGUCCCAAGGCAAAAUUCAAUUUGGACUACCCUCAUCACACUUUCCAU